CCUACGGGUGGCAGCAGUGGGGGAUAUUGCACAAUGGGGGAAACCCUGAUGCAGCGACGCCGCGUGUGGGAAGACGGUCCUCUGGAUUGUAAACCACUGUCCCCAGGGACGAAGAUGACGGUACCUGGGGAGGAAGCUCCGGCUAACUACGUCCCAGCAGCCGCGGUAAUACGUAGGGAGCGAGCGUUGUCCGGAAUUACUGGGUGUAAAGGGAGCGUAGGCGGGACUGCAAGUUGGGGGUCAAAUCUACGGGCUCAACCGGUAGCCGCACUCAAAACUGCAGUUCUUGAGUGAAGUAGAGGCAGGCGGAAUGCGUAGUGUAGCGGUGAAAUGCGUAGAUAUCAGGAGGAACACCAGUGGCGAAGGCAGCCUGCUGGGCUGUUACUGACGCUGAGGCUCGAAAGUGUGGGGAGCAAACAGGAUUAGAUACCCCUGUAGUC
This 440-nucleotide ribosomal RNA is filed under the name uncultured bacterium. RNAcentral's name for it is "partial 16S ribosomal RNA". It matches the Rfam family "Bacterial small subunit ribosomal RNA", at positions 338 to 795 of the family's 1533-position model. The record is from RNAcentral.